UACGAAGGGGGCUAGCGUUGCUCGGGAUCACUGGGCGUAAAGCGCACGUAGGCGGCUUUCUAAGUAAGGGGUGAAAUCCUGGAGCUCAACUCCAGAACUGCCUUUGAUACUGGAGAGCUUGAGUCCGGAAGAGGUGAGUGGAACUCCGAGUGUAGAGGUGAAAUUCGUAGAUAUUCGGAAGAACACCAGUGGCGAAGGCGGCUCACUGGUCCGGUACUGACGCUGAGGUGCGAAAGCGUGGGGAGCAAACAGG
This 253-nucleotide ribosomal RNA is filed under the name uncultured bacterium. RNAcentral's name for it is "partial 16S ribosomal RNA". It matches the Rfam family "Bacterial small subunit ribosomal RNA", at positions 524 to 776 of the family's 1533-position model. The record is from RNAcentral.